GCGCCAAUAGCUCAACUGGAUAGAGCGUUAGACUACGGAUCUAAAGGUUGUGGGUUCGACUCCUGUUUGGCGCGCCA
Molecule: transfer RNA, 77 nt
Filed under: Firmicutes bacterium CAG:631
Lineage: Bacteria; Bacillati; Bacillota
Description: transfer RNA-Arg(ACG)
Rfam family: tRNA
About the family: Transfer RNA (tRNA) molecules are approximately 80 nucleotides in length. Their secondary structure includes four short double-helical elements and three loops (D, anti-codon, and T loops). Further hydrogen bonds mediate the characteristic L-shaped molecular structure. tRNAs have two regions of fundamental functional importance: the anti-codon, which is responsible for specific mRNA codon recognition, and the 3' end, to which the tRNAs corresponding amino acid is attached (by aminoacyl-tRNA synthetases). tRNAs cope with the degeneracy of the genetic code in two manners: having more than one tRNA (with a specific anti-codon) for a particular amino acid; and 'wobble' base-pairing, i.e. permitting non-standard base-pairing at the 3rd anti-codon position.
Source: RNAcentral